CCUACGGGAGGCAGCAGUAGGGAAUUUUGCGCAAUGGGCGAACGCCUGACGCAGCAACACCGCGUGAAUGUUAAGCCCUUCGGGGUGUAAAGUUCUGUCAAUAGGGACGACUUUUGACUCUACCUAUAAAGGAAGCACCGGGUAACUCCGUGCCAGCAGCCGCGGUAAUACGGGGGGUGCAGGCGUUGUCCGGAAUCAUUGGGGGUAAAGCGUUCGUAGGUGGCAAGGUAAGUCUAAUGUUAAAGCCCGGGGCUCAACUCCGGUUCGGCAUUGGAAACUAUCUAUCUAGAAUGUGGUAGAGGUAAAGGGAAUGCGUGGUGUAGCGGUGAAAUGCGUAGAUAUCAGGAGGAACAUCGAUGGCGAAGGCGCUUUACUGGCGCAUAAUUGACGCUGAGGAACGAAAGCCUGGGGAGCAAAUGGGAUUAGAUACCCCUGUAGUC
This 440-nucleotide ribosomal RNA is filed under the name uncultured bacterium. RNAcentral's name for it is "partial 16S ribosomal RNA". It matches the Rfam family "Bacterial small subunit ribosomal RNA", at positions 338 to 795 of the family's 1533-position model. The record is from RNAcentral.